This 65-nucleotide transfer RNA is filed under the name Listeria monocytogenes. RNAcentral describes it as "tRNA-Asp". It matches the Rfam family "tRNA", at positions 12 to 71 of the family's 71-position model. From Rfam's summary of the family: Transfer RNA (tRNA) molecules are approximately 80 nucleotides in length. Their secondary structure includes four short double-helical elements and three loops (D, anti-codon, and T loops). The record is from RNAcentral. Lineage: Bacteria; Bacillati; Bacillota; Bacilli; Caryophanales; Listeriaceae.
GUAGGGGUUAACAUGCCUGCCUGUCACGCAGGAGAUCGCGGGUUCAAAUCCCGUCGGGACCGCCA